GGUAACUACUUAACUGUUGGGUGACUGUUGCAGGAAUGGUGGAUGAUGUUGGACGUUGUUUCUACAAACUGCUCCCUUUCAGGUUGAUGUGCUCCUAAUGUGCUGUCCUGCAGUGAUAGAUUUACAAAUCUCACUGCAUGGAUAAAUCUUGCACAAAUUAUCCUUAUUACUGUGUAAGAGGAGAUUCAGAAGCGCCAUACAUCAUCUCAACGUGCUGUUUAUACAAAUGAAAGUCUCCUUUGGGAANAGGAAUAUUUGUCAGCAGCUCAGACCCAGACCUAGGUAUAUGAGGAAGUGUUCCAGGCCAGGAGGAGCCAUCUCUGUGAUGUGCAGUUUGGUGUGCUUGCAGAUCUUGCUGUUAUCGGGGAGAGAACCUUUGUUCAGCAGACCUGUACUUGGUUCAGGCAAAUCCAACCGAAGAUUUCAGCUGCACUGUUGCCUUGCCUCCCUGAGUUUGCAGUUCCAUCCACACUGCUAUGGUAUACAAUAAUAAAUAAAAAUAGAUAGGUGGGUUACUUCUCUAGCUUACAGGAGCCUUCUUC
This 542-nucleotide long non-coding RNA is filed under the name Salvator merianae (Argentine black and white tegu). RNAcentral describes it as "lncRNA (ENSSMRG00000023373.1)". Lineage: Eukaryota; Metazoa; Chordata; Lepidosauria; Squamata; Teiidae. The record is from RNAcentral.